GAACAAGCCCAGACACGUCUCUUCACGGAGCCCAAGGAAAACACUUUACCGGACUCAUCACUCAUAUGGGAUGGCCCUGUAAAUUGUGCAGCACUGUUGUGCCAACCAAGAGUGAUUUUUAAAGCAUUACAGACUGCACCAUGGGACCUUUGGACACAGCCAUGCCUUGCCUUGCAUUCAUAUAGGUUGCCCAUGCUCUUUUAAAUGCUGGAGUUCCCUUCGCUCUCGUCUGUCAAGAUACCACCCAGAAGUCAAAUUCCUCAACUCACCUCAAGUAAGUCCUUCAUUCACCUGCCCUCUGUGUAAAAGGACUGUGCCAGGAGCAUCAAUGAUAUGAUGGCCAGAACGUAUACAGUUGGAGAAGACAGGAAGUUGUUGCCAAGUCUCCUGCUGGGGUGGCAGAAUUUAAAGAAAGAUGGCCUGCCCUCUUCGAACCAUUCCAGAUUAAUGAAGAGUUCCGAAGGUGCACUGCUGUUCCACUGGAAUCAACAUUUAUGUCUCAGCUGGACAGGUACACUCCGAAACUCCUGGAGCUCUUCAGUGCAAAAGGUGGCGUGACUGGUCAGCGCAUCAAGAACUUGUUGAUGGAACUGAUACAGGACCCAAGUGCCUCUGCAGUGAUGAAGAGAGAUGUGACUCUGUGAUGCUGUGGAACUGCAGAGACCACUGUUCAUGAGGACCUGGAAAUGAAGAAUAUGAGCAUCUACAUCUGUUGUGAGCCAAAUGUAGUAGGAAUCAUCAUUGAGGGAGUACCAGUCCUUACUCAUCUUGGAAACCUGGCCAAAGCAUGCUGCCUACUUCUGGGGUUGACGUAUGCACUUAAUCUUGAGUAUCCAUCCAAACUUUCCAAAACAUUUGAGGUGUUUCAAAGACUUUUUCCGGGACUCGACACACAUGCGCCCAAAACCAACCCCCAAAUUCAUGACUCUCAAAAACAAGCUUCUAGCUUAGGCAGUGAGCCAUGACUGUCAGCUUGCACGUUUGAACAGCUAUUUUCUUGUGUCUGCUCAAAAUCAUUAUACAUUGUUCAUUGAGUGGAAUUCUUCAGAAUGUUGUAACGGUUUGUCCUGUCCAGGUUUUAUACAAAGCUCCAGGUCAUCGUUUCUGGUAUGUAAAUUAAGUUUUUUUUAAUGUUUUAUACACUAAAUUGCCCCACUGUGAAGCUCCAGCUGGUCAGAAGGAGGGAUGUUUUUUACAUUGAUUUUUUUCAAUUUGUUGGCUUUUUCUGUAAACGCAACUUAAUCUUUUUGCAUAAAUCGAAAUGCAUAUUAUUAAGUUCUACUUACUCAAAAUACCAAUUAGUUGACUAAACUAACAAAAAUUGCUUGGAAAAUGUUGCCUUAUUUUUAUUGAGUUAGAUCUAAGCAACAGUUUUUACAGUGUACAACAUAUCUCACCUUGCAUGUUAUAUGUUAAUAUAUCAUGGUACUAAAUGUUAAAAAUCUCCACAUGAUUUACACAAAGUUGCCAAAAGUAUUUGGCCACCCAUCCAAAUGAUGACCAUCAGGUGUCCUAAUCACCAAGCACUUAGGCAUGGAGACUGUUUCUACAAACAUUUGUGGAAGAAUGGGCCGCUCUCAGUGAUUUCCAGCGUGGAACUGUCAUAGGAUGCCACCUGUGCAACAAAUCAAGUCGUGAAAUUUCCUCGCUCCUAAAUAUUCCAAAGUCAACUGUCGGCUUUAUUAUAAGAAAAGGGAAGAGUUUGGGAACAACAGCAACUCAGCCAUGAAGUGGUAGGCCACGUAAAAUGACAGAGAGGGGUCAGCAUAUUGCAAAUACUUUCUGCACAGUCAGUUGCUACAGAGCUCCAAACUUCAUGUGACCUUCCAAUUAGCCCACGCACAGUACGCAGAGAGCUUCAUGGAAUGGGUUUCUAUGGCCGAGCAGCUUUAUCUAAGCCAUACAUCAACAAGUCCAAUGCAAAACGUCGGAUGCAGUGGUGUAAAACAUGUCGCCACUGGACUCUAGAGCAGUGGAGACGCGUUCUCUGGACUGAUGAAUCACGCUUUUCCAUCUGGCAAUCUGAUGGACCAGUCUGGGUUUGGAGGUUGCCAGGAGAACGCUACAUUUCGGACUGCAUUGUGCCGAGUGUGACAUUUGGUGGAGGAGGAAUUAUGGUAACGGGUUGUUUUUCAGGAGUUGGGCUUGGCCCAUUAGUUCCAGUGAAAAGAGCUUUGAAUGCUCCAGAAUACCAAAGCAUUUUGGACAAUUCCAUGCUCCCAACCUUGUGGGAACACUUUGGAGCGAGCCCCUUCCCUUUCCAACAUGACCGUGCAACAGUGCACAAAGCAAGGUCCAUAAAGACAUGGAUGACAGAGUCUGGUGUGGAUGAACUUGACUGGCCUGCACAGAGUCCUGAUCUGAACCCGAUAGAACACCUUUGGGAUGAAUUAGAACGGAGAAUGAGAGCCAGGCCUUCUCGACCAACAUCAGUGUGUGACCUCACCAAUGCACUUUUGGAAGAAUGGUGGACAAUUCCUAUAAACACACUCCGCAACCUUGUGGACAGCCUUCCCAGAAGAGUUGAAUCUGUAAUAGCUGCAAAAGGUAUACUGACAUCAUAUUGAACCCUAUGAGUUAGGAAUGGGAUGGCACUUCAAGGUCAUGUGUGAGUCAAACUAAACAAAAUUGAUGCUAAUCCACCUUUUGGUUUUUUUUAAAGAACCAAAUCUUUAAGCAGAAUCAAAAGCGAAAUUGGAAAAAUCUUAUUAGUUCCCAUCCCUAGACUUCACUAAAACAUCCCUCAGUAGAUGUUUUUUGUUUGUUUGUUUUUUUGUUAGUUUUAUUUGACCAAGUACUGAAAACGUUCUCGCCCACAUUGAGAAAUGUAACCUUGAGAAGCGAGAGGUGAGGAUCAUUCCAAAGAAACGCUUGGUUAUUUCUCUUAUUUUGAAAGGAUGCUGACAAAGCCAACUGAGUUAUGCAGGUGAGGGAAGGCACAUUCACGCGCGUUAAAGCCUCAAAGCUCUGCACUGGGUUGAACUGCAAAGACCCUUCACUUUCCUCGCUUUGUGCCAUGAAUACAUUUUGUGUGCGAGAGGGGAACAGAAGUUGAAUAGAGAAGUGCUCUGCCUGUUUUUAUACCACACAUAAUAAUAUCCUCUUUUUAUUGAAGUAAAUAGGAUUUUUAUUUUGUUACAGCGCCAACGCACUUGUGUUGGGUUUCACUUUGUGCUUUUGUCGGCUUUAAUGAUUUCUGGACAUACUCAGAACUUUAUUAAAAAACGCUCAUCCUCAUUUUUGGGCGGUGGAUAAAAAACUGGUUGAAUAUUUCAAACAUUAGAGGAGUAGUUCUCAAAUAGUGGAAGGGUGAGGAUUUAAGUGUUGAGAUGAAUCCUAAUUCACAUCUUUAGCCCUGGUCUUAAACCAAUUGUAGUCCCGACCACGCAUCUUGAACAAGAUGGCUGAGCUGAAAGCACAUAAAUGAAAGUAAUUACCGUAUUUUUCGGACUAUAAGGUGGACUUAAAAUCCUUUCAUUUUCCUUAUAACCCGGUGUGCCUAAUGUAAGGAAUAAUUUUGGUUGUGCUUACCCACCUCGAAGCUAUUUUAUUUGGUACAAUGUGAAAUGAUAAGUGUGAACAGUAGAUGGCAGUCACACAUAAGAGAUACGGGUAGACUGCAAUACGAUGGCAGUCACACAUACGAGAUAUGUGUAGACUGCAAUAUGAUGGUAGUCACACAUAGGAGAUACGUGUAGACUGCAAUAUGAUGGCAGUCACACAAGAGAUACAUGUAGGCUGCAAUAUGAUGGCAGUCACACAUAAGAGAUAUGUGUAGACUGCAAUAUGAUGUACCGUCACACAUAAGGGAUACGUGCAGACUGCAAUAUGACGGCAGUCACACGUAAAAUAUUCGUUUAGACUUCAAUGUGACGGCAGUCACACAUAAGAGAUACGUGUAGACGGUAAUAUGAUGGCAGUCACACCUACGAGAUAUGUGUAGACUGCAUUAAGAUGGCAGUCACACAUAAGAGAUUUGUUUAGACUGCAAUAUGACGGCAGUCACACAUACGAGAUAUGUGUAGACCAGGGGUCACCAACCUUUUUGAAACCAAGGGCUACUUCUUGGGUACUGAUUAAUGCGAAGGGCUACCAGUUGGAUACACACUUAAAUAAAUUGCCAGAAGACGCCAA
Long non-coding RNA from Entelurus aequoreus (snake pipefish), 4134 nucleotides. RefSeq lists it as uncharacterized. The transcript is spliced from 5 exons. Lineage: Eukaryota; Metazoa; Chordata; Actinopteri; Syngnathiformes; Syngnathidae. The record is from RefSeq and is a predicted model, not a curated record.